RNAcentral lists this unclassified non-coding RNA (2447 nucleotides) under Hevea brasiliensis (rubber tree). Lineage: Eukaryota; Viridiplantae; Streptophyta; Magnoliopsida; Malpighiales; Euphorbiaceae. The record is from RNAcentral.
CCUGCAUUUAUUAUCAACUCAAUAUACAAAUAUAUGAUCUCAAUUAUUUAAUAUGUGGAUUCAUCAUGCAUAAUGCAUAGACAAAUAUUUUCUGAGAAAGAAAGUUGAUAACGCCCCAACAGAGGCUGCAUACUUGCAUUUGGCUAUUGAUCAGUAACAGCAUUGAAGAGAUGGAGGAGGACGAGUAAUUCAUCUGCUUGUAAUUUUGUGGAUUUUCAAGUAAAUAUCCAAUCCAUUCUUCUAGUUGGUGUCAUAUAACAUAGAUCUUCAGAUAGUCCCUUGUAAAUUUCCCAUUAUCCCAAAAUGUUGCUUGCCUGGAAACAUCAUUAGAGACAAGCUCCUUUUUCUCCUCCAUUCAAUCCAUUAUUCUAUUAACAUUUAAUUGCAGAUUUAAGAUACAAUUUUAAGAGUUUCAAGGAAGGGUUUUGACUCUUUAGAGGAAAGAUAGUUGAGGUAGUCCCUUACACUACUUCCCUUAUAGUUUGGAUGCUCCCUGUCCACCAAUUCCAUUGCAGGCUCCACCACCUCAUCCAUUGCAAAGCUAUGGAAACUGGCAACAGAUAACCUUCUUUCCUCUGAACCAGGUACUGCUCGGUGUAUAACACUCUUGUAUUUGCCAUUGCUAAGGACCUGAAGGUGAUCCCCAACUAGGACAUGCAAGGAACCUUUAGGUCCUGGGGCAGCGUUCCAACAACCAUCACUAGGGUUCAUCACCUGGAGGCCAGGACUGCUCUGUACAAGAAGAGUGAUUAUAGUAUGGUCCGUAUGUGGUGCUAUUCCUGUCCAGAUGUUGUUCAAUAGACAAGCUGAUUCAUAACAGUUUAUACCCAUCAUCUGCAUUCCUUGUUCAAUUUUGUUUUGCCAAAAUGUUGAACUCAAGCUCAAACUUUCCAUUAUAGCUCCACAUACUUGACUGCUCAAUGUCCUCAUUUCUAUGGCUUAUGUUUUCAUUUUUGCCCUGUUUCAUAAGCAGGUGGGCUCAAGGUAAUAUAGGUAGCAAAAGUCUCCCUCUAAAGGGAAGAAAUGAUUAGGGCUUGGUGGAAAAAGGUAUAUAAGAGUGAGAGUGUAGGAGUUAUACUUUCGUUGUUGUGUAGCUCAUUCGAUCUAAAAAUACCACUGAAUAGUCCUAUUCAAUAUAUGCCUAGGCAGAAAUUAAAAUAGCAUAACUUUCCAUUCUUGAAGUUUAUGUAUAUAAGACAAGCAAGUACUAAUUGAAAUGAUCUUUAAAAUUGUAGGAUCUCGAGUUCGAAUCUUAAUUGAAACCGAAUUUAAAAAGAAAAACGUUAAAAAUUUAAGAUACCUGUAAUCUGGUGGAUUUCCAGGCCAAGAUCCUAUCCAAUCUCCUAUUGGAUGGGCAUAAAGCUUCAGAAAUUCCCUUGUGAGUUUCCCAUUUUCUUUAUCAUCCUGAAUAAAUGUCUCAAAUCUUACUGGCUUGUAGACAUCAUUAGACCGCAGCUCCUUUUUCUGUUCUAUUGGCAUGUCAAAAAAUCUUGAGUUUGCGUCCAUGACAUCUUCUAUCAAUGAUUCACCUAUCCCAUGAUUAAUGAUCUACAUGUCCAUGUCCAAAAAAAAUAUAUAGUGAAACUUACAUAAAAAAUAUCAGGGGUAAAAAAGUGUAACUGGUUAGGAGGACAAGAGCUGAGGAAUCAGAUAAGGAAAUUAAAGAUUACAUUGAAGAAACCAAAAUCUUGACAAGCUUUGCCAAUUUCUUUGAUGACCUCACUCUUUAUCCGAGAAUCUUGGUUCAAGAGUAUUGAGAAAUCAAUGAUGGGUGCACUUGAAAGCUGGAUCGGAUAAUCAUCAUUUAUCAAACUUCCCAUAUCAGAUUUGAAACGAAGACAAAACAAGGUUUACUUCUUCAACUGGUUCCCACCUGACCUAAAAAACACCUACCUUGAAAAGGUCAAGUUCUCGAACGUAAGAUUAGCUAAUAUAUUAUUAAGUAAAAUAGUACAAGUUGUUUUAUUUUGAGUAGAACCUGUUGGAAAUUAAAAUAGUACAACUUUUUUUUUAUUCUGACAAUCAGAGAUAUUGUAUUAUUGCAAAUCCAAAAAUUACAAAUCCAUUAUGAGUUGAAGAAGCAAGCUAAGGAACUUGUCAGGAACUGGCUUACUGAGCUACUGAACUUAAUAGACCUAUCCCCAGAUGGAACAGUCGGUAAAACUCCCCUGUUAGAUCGUCAGCUGCGUCCAGCUAAGCCCUUAUGAAGGAUUAUGGAUGCUUGGCACCCACUGACUCCCAAUCUGGGGCAAGGCGCUUGUUGUGCAUUGGAGGGCGUAGAGAUUAUAUUUUAGUUGGUUUAAUUAGUCGGAAGAGCAUAAAUAGGACUUAUCACAUGUACUUCAGUGCAUAAGAGAAUAAGAUUCUUUCACUUUUCCUCUGCUCAAGUUGACUUUCUCACAUGGUAUCAAGAGUGGGAAAGUUAGCUUUCAAAUGGGCUUUUUUUU